This 415-nucleotide long non-coding RNA is filed under the name Linum usitatissimum (flax). RNAcentral's name for it is "long non-coding RNA (LUSI_LNC007026)". The record is from RNAcentral. Lineage: Eukaryota; Viridiplantae; Streptophyta; Magnoliopsida; Malpighiales; Linaceae.
UGAGAGCAAUUAGAAGAGAAAUUGUGUGAAGCUGCUGGAUGAAUCGGUCAGCGCCAAGAGCUUCAGUUUUGCACGUUGCCAAAAGUGGGUUUGGUCAUUUGCACCGGAGAGAAAAUGAGAAAUUGCAACUUCGCAUUACAUGGAAAAUAAUUAAAAUAACUAAUGACUGAUUUUUAUUGAUGUUAAUGAUGCAGACAUAUGAAUGUUAAAUUCAAAGCGGCGUACAACCCAGUACAAACAUCAAUAAAAAAUCUUCCUAACUCCUAAAUAAGAAACAAAAUGGAGAGAAAAGAGGAGCGGAAGAGAGUUUUUAUAUUUUCUAGGGUGUGUUUCCAUUUGUACUUCAAUUUAUGAAAUUACAAUUGUGUUUGGGUGCUAAUUUUCUGUGUAUUAUAUUACAAUACAUAAGAUUCAU